GCUGGGUGCUGAACUGGAGAACACGAGCGAACGCGCGAGUGCAAAGCACGGAGCAGAAGCGAUCCCGCGAGGCGGGAUUCGCUGAGCAACA
This 91-nucleotide non-coding RNA is filed under the name uncultured eukaryote. The record is from RNAcentral.